Molecule: ribosomal RNA, 1502 nt
Filed under: Acinetobacter pittii
Lineage: Bacteria; Pseudomonadati; Pseudomonadota; Gammaproteobacteria; Moraxellales; Moraxellaceae
Description: bacterial LSU rRNA
Rfam family: Bacterial large subunit ribosomal RNA
Source: RNAcentral
GUUGUAUAGUCAAGUAAUUAAGUGCAUGUGGUGGAUGCCUUGGCAGUCAGAGGCGAUGAAAGACGUGAUAGCCUGCGAAAAGCUCCGGGGAGGCGGCAAAUAUCCUUUGAUCCGGAGAUUUCUGAAUGGGGGAACCCACCUACUUUAAGGUAGGUAUUGCAACAUGAAUACAUAGUGUUGCAAGGCGAACGAGGGGAAGUGAAACAUCUCAGUACCCUUAGGAAAAGAAAUCAAUUGAGAUUCCCUCAGUAGCGGCGAGCGAACGGGGAUCAGCCCAUUAAGUUAUGUGUGUUUUAGUGGAACGCUCUGGGAAGUGCGAACGUAGAGGGUGAUAUUCCCGUACACGAAAGGGCACACAUAAUGAUGACGAGUAGGGCGAGGCACGUGAAACCUUGUCUGAAUAUGGGGGGACCAUCCUCCAAGGCUAAAUACUCCUGACUGACCGAUAGUGAACCAGUACCGUGAGGGAAAGGCGAAAAGAACCCCUGUGAGGGGAGUGAAAUAGAUCCUGAAACCGCAUGCAUACAAGCAGUGGGAGCACCUUCGUGGUGUGACUGCGUACCUUUUGUAUAAUGGGUCAGCGACUUAUAUUCAGUAGCGAGGUUAACCGUAUAGGGGAGCCGUAGAGAAAUCGAGUCUUAAUAGGGCGUUUAGUUGCUGGGUAUAGACCCGAAACCAGGCGAUCUAUCCAUGAGCAGGUUGAAGGUUGGGUAACACUAACUGGAGGACCGAACCCACUGUCGUUGAAAAGCCAGGGGAUGACUUGUGGAUAGGGGUGAAAGGCUAAUCAAGCCUGGUGAUAGCUGGUUCUCCCCGAAAGCUAUUUAGGUAGCGCCUCGGACGAAUACCAUAGGGGGUAGAGCACUGUUUCGGCUAGGGGGUCAUCCCGACUUACCAAACCGAUGCAAACUCCGAAUACCUAUGAGUACUAUCCGGGAGACAGACUGCGGGUGCUAACGUCCGUAGUCAAGAGGAAAACAAUCCAGACCGCCAGCUAAGGCCCCAAAAUCAUAGUUAAGUGGGAAACGAUGUGGGAAGGCAUAGACAGCUAGGAGGUUGGCUUAGAAGCAGCCACCCUUUAAAGAAAGCGUAAUAGCUCACUAGUCGAGUCGGCCUGCGCGGAAGAUGUAACGGGGCUAAAACUAUGUGCCGAAGCUGCGGAUUUGACAUUAGUCAAGUGGUAGGGGAGCGUUCUGUAAGCCGAUGAAGGUGUAUUGAGAAGUAUGCUGGAGGUAUCAGAAGUGCGAAUGCUGACGUGAGUAACGACAAAACGGGUGAAAAACCCGUUCGCCGAAAGACCAAGGGUUCCAGUCCAACGUUAAUCGGGGCUGGGUGAGUCGACCCCUAAGGCGAGGCCGAAAGGCGUAGUCGAUGGGAAAUUGGUUAAUAUUCCAAUACUUCUGUGUAAUGCGAUGAGAGGACGGAGAAGGUUAAGUCAGCCUGGCGUUGGUUGUCCAGGUGGAAGGAUGUAGGUAUGUAUCUUAGGCAAAUCCGGGGUACUC